GUGGGGAAUAUUGGGCAAUGGGCGAAAGCCUGACCCAGCAACGCCGCGUGAGGGAAGAAGGCCUUCGGGUUGUAAACCUCUGUCCUUGGUGACGAAAAAAAUGACGGUAGCCAAGGAGGAAGCCCCGGCUAACUACGUGCCAGCAGCCGCGGUAAUACGUAGGGGGCGAGCGUUGUCCGGAAUUACUGGGCGUAAAGGGUGCGUAGUUGGCCUUUUAAGUUGGAUGUGAAAUACCCGGGCUUAACUUGGGGGGUGCAUCUACUACUGGAGGGCUAGAGUGCAGGAGAGGGAAGCGGAAUUCCUAGUGUAGCGGUGAAAUGCGUAGAUAUUAGGAGGAACACCAGUGGCGAAGGCGGCUUUCUGGACUGUAACUGACACUGAGGCACGAAAGCGUGGGGAGCAAACAGGAUUAGAAACCCCGGUAGUCC
This 428-nucleotide ribosomal RNA is filed under the name uncultured bacterium. RNAcentral's name for it is "partial 16S ribosomal RNA". It matches the Rfam family "Bacterial small subunit ribosomal RNA", at positions 354 to 796 of the family's 1533-position model. The record is from RNAcentral.